AGGACGAACGCUGGCGGCGUGCUUAACACAUGCAAGUGGAGCGACGAACCGGGCUUCGGCCCGGGGCAAAGCCGCGAACGGGUGAGUAACACGUGGGUAACCUGCCCCAAUGACCGGGACAACCCGAGGAAACUCGAGCUAAUACCGGAUGUGUUCACUGUCCACAAGGACAAUGAGAAAAGGAAGCUUCGGCCUCCGCAUUGGGAUGGGCCCGCGGCCCAUUAGCUUGUUGGUGAGGUAACGGCUCACCAAGGCUUCGAUGGGUAGCUGGUCUGAGAGGACGAUCAGCCACACUGGGACUGAGACACGGCCCAGACUCCUACGGGAGGCAGCAGUGGGGAAUCUUGCGCAAUGCGCGAAAGCGUGACGCAGCAACGCCGCGGUGGGGGAAGAAGGCUUUCGGGUCGUAAACCCCUUUCGAGGAGGACGAAGCGUUCGGCAGCGAAUAGCUGCCGGAGUGACGGUACUCCGAUAAGAACGCCCCGGACUAACGUACGUGCCGUAGCCAGCCGACGGUAAUCCGUGA
This 526-nucleotide ribosomal RNA is filed under the name uncultured soil bacterium. Its description in RNAcentral is "bacterial SSU rRNA". It matches the Rfam family "Bacterial small subunit ribosomal RNA", at positions 26 to 530 of the family's 1533-position model. The record is from RNAcentral.